UUCCCAAUGCGACUCACCGAG
This 21-nucleotide non-coding RNA is filed under the name Caenorhabditis elegans. The record is from RNAcentral. Lineage: Eukaryota; Metazoa; Nematoda; Chromadorea; Rhabditida; Rhabditidae.